GAUGAACGCUGGCGGCGUGCCUAAUACAUGCAAGUCGAGCGAACGGACGAGAAGCUUGCUUUUCUGAUGUUAGCGGCGGACGGGUGAGUAACACGUGGAUAACCUACCUAUAAGACUGGGAUAACUUCGGGAAACCGGAGCUAAUACCGGAUAAUAUUUUGAACCGCAUGGUUCAAAAGUGAAAGACGGUCUUGCUGUCACUUAUAGAUGGAUCCGCGCUGCAUUAGCUAGUUGGUAAGGUAACGGCUUACCAAGGCAACGAUGCAUAGCCGACCUGAGAGGGGGAACGGCCACACUGGAACUGAGGCACGGUCCAAACUCCUAAGGGGGGCAGCAGUAGGGAAUCUUCCGGAAUGGGCGGAAGCCCGACGGGGCAACGCCGCGGGGGGUGUGAAGGUCUUCGGAUCGUUAAACCCUUUUAUUAGGGAAGAACAUAUGUGUAAGUAACUGUGCACAUCUUGACGGUACCUAAUCAGAAAGCCACGGCUAACUACGUG
Molecule: ribosomal RNA, 497 nt
Filed under: uncultured bacterium
Lineage: Bacteria
Description: partial 16S ribosomal RNA
Rfam family: Bacterial small subunit ribosomal RNA
Source: RNAcentral